RNAcentral lists this ribosomal RNA (427 nucleotides) under uncultured bacterium. RNAcentral describes it as "partial 16S ribosomal RNA". It matches the Rfam family "Bacterial small subunit ribosomal RNA", at positions 355 to 774 of the family's 1533-position model. The record is from RNAcentral.
UGGGGAAUAUUGCACAAUGGGCGCAAGCCUGAUGCAGCCAUGCCGCGUGUAUGAAGAAGGCCUUCGGGUUGUAAAGUACUUUCAGCGGGGAGGAAGGUGUUGUGGUUAAUAACCACAGCAAUUGACGUUACCCGCAGAAGAAGCACCGGCUAACUCCGUGCCAGCAGCCGCGGUAAUACGGAGGGUGCAAGCGUUAAUCGGAAUUACUGGGCGUAAAGCGCACGCAGUCGGUCUGUCAAGUCGGAUGUGAAAUCCCCGGGCUCAACCUGGGAACUGCAUCCGAAACUGGCAGGCUUGAGUCUUGUAGAGGGGGGUAGAAUUCCAGGUGUAGCGGUGAAAUGCGUAGAGAUCUGGAGGAAUACCGGUGGCGAAGGCGGCCCCCUGGACAAAGACUGACGCUCAGGUGCGAAAGCGUGGGGAGCAAACA